CCUAGCCUCUCCCAUCGCACAUCAGCCUCAUCUCUCAAGCCCGAUCUUAACCCUCACCCUCCAAGCCUCCAUCUCUCAAGCCCUCACCCUCCAUCUCUCCGAUCUCAAGCUAGCCCUCACCCUCCACUUCCAAACCUUUCGUCUCCAACCUCUUGACAUGUCAAAUCUUUGGUUGUUUCGCAGAGAAUGUGAGAGAGAGAGAGAGAGAGCAAAACACAGAGAGCUGAAGGGAAAGAGAGGGAAGCUAAGAGAGGUAUCGUCUAGGCUCAGAGCGCCACCUUCCCUCAGGUUUCAUCUUUACAAGGAGAACACAGACACACAGGAGGCCUUAGGAGUGAUAGGAAAGAUGCUUGGCAUCCAGGUAACAGCUUUCAAGCAGCAUGCAAGUAGAUUAACUGCUCUUAAUGAAAGGUUGAUUGGUAUAUAUCAAAGUGGGUGACUUUUGCUAUGUUAAGGAAGGACUUCUUCUUGGCCAGCUCAUGGGAAACCGGUUUACAAUCACAUUGCGGUAAGGGUGUUUUCCUUGUUCACUAAACCAGUUUUAUUUUUAGUAAUAAAUAUUUCAUAUUUCUUUCUUAAAACAUCCAUGUCUCCGUUGGAGUAUAAUAAUGCACAUAUAGAUUACCAUGAAAAAAUCCAAUGAACCAAUUAAAUUAAACUAAUUUUGUCUUUGCUGCCUAUUUAAUUGAUUUGUUGCAUAUUGUCCAUUAGUUGUAUGUAAUU
Long non-coding RNA from Quercus lobata, 723 nucleotides. RefSeq lists it as uncharacterized. The transcript is spliced from 4 exons. Lineage: Eukaryota; Viridiplantae; Streptophyta; Magnoliopsida; Fagales; Fagaceae. The record is from RefSeq and is a predicted model, not a curated record.